Molecule: ribosomal RNA, 459 nt
Filed under: uncultured bacterium
Lineage: Bacteria
Description: bacterial SSU rRNA
Rfam family: Bacterial small subunit ribosomal RNA
Source: RNAcentral
CGCCUUAUACUCCUACGGGAGGCAGCAGUGGGGAAUUUUGGACAAUGGGGGCAACCCUGAUCUAGCCAUGCCGCGUGAGCGAUGAAGGCCUUAGGGUUGUAAAGCUCUUUCGUGGGGGAAGAUAAUGACUGUACCCCAAGAAGAAGCCCCGGCUAACUCCGUGCCAGCAGCCGCGGUAAUACGGAGGGGGCUAGCGUUGUUCGGAAUUACUGGGCGUAAAGCGCACGUAGGCGGACUGGAAAGUCAGAGGUGAAAUCCCAGGGCUCAACCUUGGAACUGCCUUUGAAACUCCCAGUCUUGAGGUCGAGAGAGGUGAGUGGAAUUCCGAGUGUAGAGGUGAAAUUCGUAGAUAUUCGGAGGAAAACCAGUGGCGAAGGCGGCUCACUGGCUCGAUACUGACGCUGAGGUGCGAAAGCGUGGGGAGCAAACAGGAUUAGAAACCCCAGUAGUCACGUACCA